UGGGGAGUAUUGGACAAUGGGCGAAAGCCUGAUCCAGCCAUGCCGCGUGUGUGAAGAAGGUCUUCGGAUUGUAAAGCACUUUAAGUUGGGAGGAAGGGCAUUAACCUAAUACGUUAGUGUUUUGACUUUACCGACAGAAUAAGCACCGGCUAACUCUGUGCCAGCAGCCGCGGUAAUACAGAGGGUGCAAGCGUUAAUCGGAAUUACUGGGCGUAAAGCGCGCGUAGGUGGUUUGUUAAGUUGGAUGUGAAAUCCCCGGGCUCAACCUGGGAACUGCAUUCAAAACUGACUGACUAGAGUAUGGUAGAGGGUGGUGGAAUUUCCUGUGUAGCGGUGAAAUGCGUAGAUAUAGGAAGGAACACCAGUGGCGAAGGCGACCACCUGGACUAAUACUGACACUGAGGUGCGAAAGCGUGGGGAGCAAACA
Molecule: ribosomal RNA, 427 nt
Filed under: uncultured bacterium
Lineage: Bacteria
Description: partial 16S ribosomal RNA
Rfam family: Bacterial small subunit ribosomal RNA
Source: RNAcentral